RNAcentral lists this ribosomal RNA (468 nucleotides) under uncultured bacterium. RNAcentral describes it as "partial 16S ribosomal RNA". It matches the Rfam family "Bacterial small subunit ribosomal RNA", at positions 28 to 507 of the family's 1533-position model. The record is from RNAcentral.
GACGAACGCUGGCGGCGUGCUUAACACAUGCAAGUCGAACGGAAAGGCCCUGCUUUUGUGGGGUGCUCGAGUGGCGAACGGGUGAGUAACACGUGAGUAACCUGCCCUUGACUUUGGGAUAACUUCAGGAAACUGGGGCUAAUACCGGAUAGGAGCUCCUGCUGCAUGGUGGGGGUUGGAAAGUUUCGGCGGUUGGGGAUGGACUCGCGGCUUAUCAGCUUGUUGGUGGGGUAGUGGCUUACCAAGGCUUUGACGGGUAGCCGGCCUGAGAGGGUGACCGGCCACAUUGGGUCUGAGAUACGGCGCAGACUCCUACGGGAGGCAGCAGUGGGGAAUAUUGCACAAUGGGCGGAAGCCUGAUGCAGCAACGCCGCGUGCGGGAUGACGGCCUUCGGGUUGUAAACCGCUUUCGCCUGUGACGAAGCGUGAGUGACGGUAAUGGGUAAAGAAGCACCGGCUAACUACGUG